Molecule: transfer RNA, 74 nt
Filed under: compost metagenome
Description: tRNA-Met
Rfam family: tRNA
About the family: Transfer RNA (tRNA) molecules are approximately 80 nucleotides in length. Their secondary structure includes four short double-helical elements and three loops (D, anti-codon, and T loops).
Source: RNAcentral
AUUCUUGUAGCUCAGUGGUAGAGCAUUCCGCUCAUAACGGAUUGGUCAUGGGUUCAAUUCCUAUCAAGAAUACC